Molecule: long non-coding RNA, 942 nt
Organism: Brassica oleracea var. oleracea
Lineage: Eukaryota; Viridiplantae; Streptophyta; Magnoliopsida; Brassicales; Brassicaceae
Exons: 3
Source: RefSeq, a predicted model, not a curated record
AUGGGUUUACCCAAACCCAUAAGUAAUGGGCCGGGUUUUUACCCUUCGAUAAAUAAAUGGGUCCAAUAUGAGAUAUUAAUUUUAGAGUUUAUAUUAAUACGGGUAAAAUCAAUAGGGUAACUGGGUACCCACAUUACCCACAUACUUAAUUAAAAAAAUUAAACGUUAUUGUUCAACAAACUGACGAAGUGUCUCUUUCAACCUAAUCUGAAACAAAUGAUUUCAACCUAAUCUGAAACAAACGAAGUUGUCUCUCUCUCAAUCAAGCUUGGUCGUCUUCAACUCUUUCAUGAAGCAGAUCUCUGGCAGAGAACCCAUCACACUGAUCAUGAUUUUUUUUGAACUUGAGAGGAGUAUCCUACAUAGUUCAGAUAACACAGAGUCAAGUUUGGAAUUGCAUUUGGAUGAGCCAAGGCUAGGGUUAAAAGCUUUUGCAGAUAUAUAAGUUUUAUAUUGAUUUAUAAUAUUUAUUUUAAAUUUAUAUUGAUUUAUAUAAUUGUGAUUUUAAAUUAUAUAUAUAGAUAUUAAAAUUUCUUUUUAAAGGUAUAAAAAUGUAUAAUUUGAUUCUAUAUACAAAAACGUAUCAAUAUUUUAUAUUAUUUGUCUAGAAAAAAUAAAAUGACAACUUGGGUACUCAUGAGUAAACCUAUGCCCUAUUGAGUUUAUUAUCUCGGUUUGGUUUCCAACCUAGUGUUUUUGGGUUUUCUUGGGUUGAGUUAUUUUACCCUACAUUAACAUCCCUAUAUAUAAGGAUGUUGCAUUUUCAUUUGAUUAAUAUGAAGUUGUUGAAACAUUUAAAGGUACGCACGUAUCUAACUUUUUUUUUUAUUUCAAUUUUUUUUUCAUUUCAUUUUUAAGUUAUUAAAUAUUAAUAAUUAUGUUUACACUAUAUUUGAUCUAAUUUUUAUUGAUGAAACAGAAAAUUGUUAUUUUAGAGUAUAU